RNAcentral lists this ribosomal RNA (1493 nucleotides) under metagenome. Its description in RNAcentral is "bacterial LSU rRNA". It matches the Rfam family "Bacterial large subunit ribosomal RNA", at positions 1290 to 2910 of the family's 2925-position model. The record is from RNAcentral.
CCAAAUGUUGACAUGAGUAACGAUAAAGGGAGUGAGAGACUCCCUCGCCGAAAGACCAAGGGUUCCUGCUUAAAGUUAAUCUGAGCAGGGUUAGCCGGCCCCUAAGGUGAGGCAGAAAUGCGUAGCCGAUGGGAACCACGUUAAUAUUCGUGGGCCUGGUGGUAGUGACGGAUUGCGUAACUUGUUCAGUCUUAUUGGAUUGAUUGGGCAGGGAAGCGGUUCCAGGAAAUAGCUCCACCGUAUAGACCGUACCCGAAACCGACACAGGUGGUCAGGUAGAGUAUACCAAGGCGCUUGAGAGAACUAUGUUGAAGGAACUCGGCAAAUUGCACGCGUAACUUCGGAAGAAGCGUGACCCCAUAGCACGCAAGUGUUGUGGGGUGGCACAGACCAGGGGGUAGCGACUGUUUAUCAAAAACACAGGGCUCUGCGAAGCCGCAAGGCGACGUAUAGGGUCUGACGCCUGCCCGGUGCUGGAAGGUUAAGAGGAGAGGUGCAAGCUUUGAAUCGAAGCCCCAGUAAACGGCGGCCGUAACAAUAACGGUCCUAAGGUAGCGAAAUUCCUUGUCGGGUAAGUUCCGACCUGCGCGAAUGGCGUAACGACUUCCCCGCCGUCUCCAACAUAGACUCAGUGAAAUUGAAUUCCCCGUGAAGAUGCGGGGUUCCUGCAGUCAGACGGAAAGACCCCGUGCACCUUUACUAUAGCUUUACACUGGCAUUCGCCAAGGCAUGUGUAGGAUAGGUGGUAGGCUUUGAAGCUUGGACGCUAGUUCGAGUGGAGCCAUCCUUGAAAUACCACCCUUAUCUUCGUGGAUGUCUAACCGCGAUCCGUCAUCCGGGUCCGGGACAGUGUAUGGUGGGUAGUUUGACUGGGGCGGUCGCCUCCGAAAGAGUAACGGAGGCGCGCGAUGGUGGGCUCAGACCGGUCGGAAAUCGGUCGUCGAGUGCAAUGGCAUAAGCCCGCCUGACUGCGAGACUGACAAGUCGAGCAGAGACGAAAGUCGGUCAUAGUGAUCCGGUGGUCCCGCGUGGAAGGGCCAUCGCUCAACGGAUAAAAGGUACGCCGGGGAUAACAGGCUGAUGACCCCCAAGAGUCCAUAUCGACGGGGUUGUUUGGCACCUCGAUGUCGACUCAUCGCAUCCUGGGGCUGGAGCAGGUCCCAAGGGUAUGGCUGUUCGCCAUUUAAAGCGGUACGUGAGUUGGGUUCAGAACGUCGUGAGACAGUUCGGUCCCUAUCUGCCGUGGGUGUAGGAAUAUUGACAGGAUCUGUCCCUAGUACGAGAGGACCGGGAUGGACGUAUCUCUGGUGGAUCUGUUGUCCUGCCAAGGGCAUAGCAGAGUAGCUAUAUACGGAAUGGAUAACCGCUGAAGGCAUCUAAGCGGGAAACCAACCUGAAAACGAGUGUUCCCUGAGAGCCGUGGAAGACGACCACGUUGAUAGGACGGGUGUGGAAGCAAGGCAACUUGUGAAGCUUACCGUUACUAAUAGCCC